AUAGCCCGGCGAAAGCCGGAUUAAUACCGCAUACGCUCUGAGGAGGAAAGGGGGGGAUCUUUCGGGACCUCUCGCUCAAGGGGCGGCCGAUGGCAGAUUAGCUAGUUGGUGGGGUAAAGGCCUACCAAGGCGACGAUCUGUAGCUGGUCUGAGAGGACGACCAGCCACACUGGGACUGAGACACGGCCCAGACUCCUACGGGAGGCAGCAGUGGGGAAUUUUGGACAAUGGGCGCAAGCCUGAUCCAGCAAUGCCGCGUGUGUGAAGAAGGCCUUCGGGUUGUAAAGCACUUUUGUCCGGAAAGAAAACCUUCGCCCUAAUACGGUGGGGGGAUGACGGUACCGGAAGAAUAAGCACCGGCUAACUACGUGCCAGCAGCCGCGGUAAUACGUAGGGUGCAAGCGUUAAUCGGAAUUACUGGGCGUAAAGCGUGCGCAGGCGGUUCGCUAAGACAGAUGUGAAAUCCCCGGGCUUAACCUGGGAACUGCAUUUGUGACUGGCGGGCUAGAGUAUGGCAGAGGGGGGUAGAAUUCCACGUGUAGCAGUGAAAUGCGUAGAGAUGUGGAGGAAUACCGAUGGCGAAGGCAGCCCCCUGGGCCAAUACUGACGCUCA
Molecule: ribosomal RNA, 613 nt
Filed under: Paraburkholderia sp.
Lineage: Bacteria; Pseudomonadati; Pseudomonadota; Betaproteobacteria; Burkholderiales; Burkholderiaceae
Description: bacterial SSU rRNA
Rfam family: Bacterial small subunit ribosomal RNA
Source: RNAcentral